UUAGUACUUACUCCGUCCGAAAAAACUUGUCCCAAGUUUUGUCCCUCAAAUGGAUGUAUCUAGCACUAACUUGGUGCUAGAUACAUCUAUUUGAGGGACAAGCUUUUUUGGAUGGAGGGAGUAUUUA
Molecule: non-coding RNA, 127 nt
Organism: Triticum aestivum (bread wheat)
Lineage: Eukaryota; Viridiplantae; Streptophyta; Magnoliopsida; Poales; Poaceae
Source: Rfam